UACGUAGGGUGCGAGCGUUGUCCGGAAUUAUUGGGCGUAAAGGGCUCGUAGGUGGCCAACUAAGUCAGACGUGAAAUCCCUCAGCUUAACUGGGGAACUGCGUCUGAUACUGGAUGGCUUGAGAUUGGGAGAGGGAUGCGGAAUUCCUGGUGUAGCGGUGAAAUGCGCAGAUAUCAGGAGGAACACCGGUGGCGAAGGCGGGUCUCUGGGCCGAUACUGACGCUGAGGAGCGAAAGCGUGGGGAGCGAACAGG
Molecule: ribosomal RNA, 253 nt
Filed under: uncultured bacterium
Lineage: Bacteria
Description: partial 16S ribosomal RNA
Rfam family: Bacterial small subunit ribosomal RNA
Source: RNAcentral